Molecule: non-coding RNA, 690 nt
Organism: Pantherophis guttatus
Lineage: Eukaryota; Metazoa; Chordata; Lepidosauria; Squamata; Colubridae
Source: RefSeq, a predicted model, not a curated record
GCGCGUUGCUAAGAGCCGGUGACGCUCUUUUCAGCAUCUCCAGAGCGGCUCCAGAGGCCGCUGGGCAUGUCCUGAGGUAAAGUGGAAGUGGAAAGAGAUUCCCUGCACUGAAACAUAGAUAAAUCCACCUGAAGAAUUGCUCAGGGAGCAGCUGAUGAAACUGUCUGCAGAAAGAUGCAGAUUGUGCCCACCCAGGGAAGAUUGACUGACAGAGUGAUUAUGGAUUAUGCAACCGCAUCUCAAAAAGGGAAGUCAUUUCUGAGUAAGGAGGGCCAUGCAGCCUGAAUAUAGAAGGGCACUUGAAUGCUGAAUGGUUCCUCAACUCCACUGGUCCCUGCUGUUCUUGUCAUCUAUCUCCAGAUGAUCCAGGAACUGACUGAUGGAACCGAAGAAAUACGAACAGAUUUUCUAUGAUGGAUCACCCCUAACUCCAGUUGGAUCUCUCCCUGGCUUAAAAAUCUGCAUCUACAGCUAACACUCAGCUCAAGAAGGAAGUGGUAACUGUAAUCAGGAAGGCCUUAUCUGGUUCACCAUGGAGCUGCCCUUGAAGACUAUACAGAAGCUUCAGCUGAUCCAGAAUACAGCAGGGUGGCAAUAAUGAACACACCCUCAGUAUGCUUUUACCAUCUUGAGUUACUUAUAAAAUUGUGUAAGGUGAGAUAAAAAAAUCGAAUAAAUACAGUACCUCUA